RNAcentral lists this unclassified non-coding RNA (232 nucleotides) under fungal sp. RNAcentral's name for it is "partial internal transcribed spacer region". The stretch from base 1 to 46 matches the Rfam family "Eukaryotic small subunit ribosomal RNA", at positions 1786 to 1831 of the family's 1831-position model. The record is from RNAcentral. Lineage: Eukaryota; Fungi.
AAGUCGUAACAAGGUUUCCGUAGGUGAACCUGCGGAAGGAUCAUUAAAGAUUCGACCUUUGGGUCUAUCUCUCUUCAGCUGUGCGCUUCGGCUGCACGCUGUUGAAACUCACACACCUGUGCACCAUUCGGUGGCGGCCUCGGUCGCUUCCGCUUUUACACAUACGACCACAGUCCAGAAUGUAAAACACAAUAACAAAUAACAACUUUCAACAACGGAUCUCUUGGCUCUC